This 458-nucleotide ribosomal RNA is filed under the name uncultured Sphingobacteriales bacterium. RNAcentral describes it as "bacterial SSU rRNA". It matches the Rfam family "Bacterial small subunit ribosomal RNA", at positions 923 to 1382 of the family's 1533-position model. Lineage: Bacteria; Pseudomonadati; Bacteroidota; Sphingobacteriia; Sphingobacteriales. The record is from RNAcentral.
GCACAAGCGGUGGAGCAUGUGGUUUAAUUCGAUGAUACGCGAGGAGCCUUACCUGGGCUCAAAUGUAUGUUGACGUAUUUCUGAAAGGGAUACUUCUUCGGACAAUAUACAAGGUGCUGCAUGGUUGUCGUCAGCUCGUGCCGUGAGGUGUCGGGUUAAGUCCCAUAACGAGCGCAACCCCUAUCAUUAGUUGCCAUCAGGUCAAGCUGGGGACUCUAAUGAAACUGCCUACGCAAGUAGUGAGGAAGGUGGGGAUGACGUCAAAUCAGCACGGCCCUUACGUCCAGGGCUACACACGUGCUACAAUGGUCGGUACAAAGGGUUGCCAAGCCGCGAGGUGGAGCUAAUCCCAUAAAACCGAUCGUAGUCCGGAUCGCAGUCUGCAACUCGACUGCGUGAAGUCGGAAUCGCUAGUAAUCGUGAAUCAGAAUGUCACGGUGAAUACGUUCCCGGGCCUU